Molecule: long non-coding RNA, 2994 nt
Organism: Gambusia affinis (western mosquitofish)
Lineage: Eukaryota; Metazoa; Chordata; Actinopteri; Cyprinodontiformes; Poeciliidae
Exons: 3
Source: RefSeq, a predicted model, not a curated record
GCUGACCUCAACGGUGAGACGGCUUAAUGAGUGAUUAGUCAGUUUCUUCUGAGAGUUUCUUCUCACUUUUUUAAAAUGGUGACGCCACCUUCACUUCCUAGUAUUUCGGGAUGUCCGUGAACCAACAUAUAGAUCAGGGAAAACUAUUUGUUUAAAGACCUGUUCAUGUUUAUUUCAACCAGAGAAUCAGAAAGGAAAACGUACUUAAAGUAAAGCUCAAACUGAGGUUCAGUAAACAGCAAACGCUGCUCUUUAAGGGCCAACGAUGACGAGGGGAUUAUUCUGGAGAUAAACCGUCAAAGAUACGAGUGAAGAGUUUUGCCACGAGCAGAAUUCAGAGAGGACAUCGUGUGUUUAGACAGGAAGAAAGCAUUCACGAUUCAUGAUGUGACAAAUGUAUUUCCUGUGAUAGAAUGCUGGAAGCGCUGAUUACACCUCAGGAGAAAACAAUUCACCAGAUGACCUGCACAAAGGUGGCAGUGUACUCUGAGGCUGCAUUUCAGGGAAAAUGAGGUGGUUCUCAAGAAGGAAACCGUUUUCCAGCUCCACAGGCUGCUAGCCACACUCAGCAACAAUGAAGCAACCAGAGAAAUCUCGCUCUGGUCCACAUGUCUUACAGUGGACCAGAAAGUGUCCAUAUCCCUGAAAUCGAAACAGUUUACUGGUGUUUUCUGCCUUAGAGUAGAAAGAAAAGAACAACAGGAGGAGCUGCGUGGCUUCACAGCUCAGGUUUGAGACUCGUUCAAUAGGACAGAAGAAAGACAAUUUUUAAAAAAUGUUACUAAGCGGUCCCAUUUAAAGUUUGUAGGGGAAACAUCUUCAGUUUUGUUCUCAUCUAUUCAGAUGAGAACAAAACUGAACUUCUGGCCUAAAUUCAAAAGAUUGUGCAUGCGGGAAGAUAUAUGGAGGUAAACAUAGAGCAACCUUGGAGGAAAAGCUGUCAGAUGCACAAAAAUCUAAGAUUGGGGCAAACAUUCAAUGGAACACUUAGCGUCAAAGCAAAUAGCAUGAUUUAGUCAAAGACCGCCACUAAACAUUUGUGGCAAGACUUUAAAAUUGGUGCCCUCCAAUUACCUUCAUUUUAUCUGAGAUGUUUGUUAUGAUUAAAAGUUCCCAUCUGUUGAUGUUUAACCCAAAGGGCUUACAACAGCAGUUGGAGCCAAGCUUGGUUCUAUGGCCUUAGAGGGACUUUGAAAUUUAUAAUAAUAUACAUCUGUCGUAAACAAUGAUCUUUUCGUUUGAUAGACUUCACCAAAAAAUAUUAGCUUUUCAAAUUAUGGAAGUAUUUUUGCACCUAUCUGACUUUUGCUAACCAAAUAUUUCCUGAAUAGGUUAACUUAUAUUUUUAUAGCGUUUCGAUGUUGUAAUUUAUGCUCCUUUCUCUCUUUUGUAUGUUUUGAUAUCACAAAUCAAAUACUGCUGGACUCUGCCAAAAAUAUUUUUAGCAUAAAAUUAAAUCCUGUUCAUUUAUUUCACAAGCUAGUCUGACUUCGUUAAUGUUAUAAAUGGUUCAGAAACUGAUAAGCAAAUAGACACCAUCUUGCCAAACUACUCAGCCCUUCUUCCACAUUUUUGUCAAAACCGGCACUUUGGUCAGAUUUUGUGUCACUAGAUCUGACUCCCACUUUUCACUGGUGCUGCUUCUAAUAAUAAUGAACAUUUUAUAUAUUCAAUAAGUUCUUUGAAGUGCUGAAACAACAGGAUUUGUAAUUUACUAGUUGGCAAUGCAACCGCGAUAUGUUUUUCCAAGUGACGGCGAGCUCCACCCUCUCCUGAAUAGAUGCCACUUCAGCAGUUGGCCACAAGAGGGAGCCAAUGGAGCAUAUAAGCUGAAUUCUGCCAUUUAUGCUCAAGUUAAACUCAUAUUACAUGAAUAAAAAAGCAUAAAGUAAAGUCACACGGUGAAGGAAAAAUUGUAUUUGGUGCCGUUAGUCAUCUUCAUUAUCACAAUGGAGCCAAAUACAGAGCAACCAAGCGAACGCUUUGCUUUUAACUGACCACCCCAGGUCUUCUGUAAAUUUGUUUCAUUGUUUUUUUUAUUGAUAAGAGUUGGAAGAUAAUUUUGUAACGCAGUGCUUUAAAGUGAACACAACUAAACAUUCAAAUUAUGUCAUCAUAGGACAGACGUUUCAAUCUUUUCAAGCUGUUGCGCCUAAACCGAAUUUUAUGAAAGAGCCAGCAGGGGGCGACUCACACUGCUGCAACAUCUGACACAAUGAUAUAGCUACAGAUUUAAAGUUAAGCUAAAAUAAUGCUACACUAGAAAAAAAUGAACUUUAUUUACCCAUAUAAAACCUUUGCACCGUGAUUUGACCACUAGCAUAUAUCAUUUUGUUUUUAAAUAAAUUUGUAUUUUUGAAUUCAAUAUUUUCCCAUCACAUUUAACUUCUAAACAAUUACUUAAAAAAGAAACCUUUAAAUAUUUUUUCUUCCCUUUUAGAUAUAUUUGAGCCCCAUUUCUUACCAGCAUAUACUUUAAAUUCAAAUAUUCAGACUCAACACUCACACAAUUAGACACCAAGAUUGAGUGUAUUCAUCCAUUCAUUGCCCACUUCAGAUUCACUUCAAGCAUUUUAAUUAAUAAAAUGGAAUUAAAAGAUGUUUAUAGGGUAAAUGACAGAAAACAGGAACUGAAAUACCAAUAUUUUAUUUGCAAAAGGAUACCGGUUAAUACACUGAAUGAAGCACUGAAACAAGCCACGGUAACAUUGCAAAAUACCACUAAAAACAACAGUGUAAAUUCUAGAGAAAAAGUAAUUUGAUCCAAAAGGCAUACAUUAUGAAAGAAGAGGAAGGAAGUGUAUUUACACCAUGGCAAAGUGUCCUGUAUCUCUACAAAACAAAUGUGAUUGGAGGCCUCUUUGUUUAAGACAUUUUAAAAAAUGUAUUACAAAUAGCUGCUAAAGAACAAGUCGUUUUACGUUCCAUUUAUUGGUUUUAUCAAAAGACAUCUAGAAAAAAAAAAAGAAAAAAAAAAGGCACCACUGAUGGUGA